RNAcentral lists this ribosomal RNA (127 nucleotides) under Micrococcus luteus. Its description in RNAcentral is "partial 23S ribosomal RNA". It matches the Rfam family "Bacterial large subunit ribosomal RNA", at positions 1586 to 1713 of the family's 2925-position model. The record is from RNAcentral. Lineage: Bacteria; Bacillati; Actinomycetota; Actinomycetes; Micrococcales; Micrococcaceae.
GUGAUCCGGUGAUCCUAUGCUGCCUAGAAAAGCAUCGGCGCGAGGUUCAAACUGCCCGUACCCUAAACCGACACAGGUGGUCAGGUAGAGAAUACUAAGGCGAUCGAGAGAAUCAUGGUUAAGGAAC